This 1087-nucleotide long non-coding RNA is filed under the name Homo sapiens (human). RNAcentral describes it as "non-protein coding lnc-MUC19-3:1". Lineage: Eukaryota; Metazoa; Chordata; Mammalia; Primates; Hominidae. The record is from RNAcentral.
AUGGUGGCCAAGGAGACAGGUGGCUGGAGUCCCCAGGUCAAUCUCUAUUGUCCUACCUGCAUCAACUGGGCAUCCAAGGCUUGUAAUUCUGCUCACAGAAUAUUUCAAAGAAAAUUGAGCUGCUCACAAAUUAUUACAUAAGAAAGCAAAAGAUGAAAAGGAAAAGCAAGAAGUGUCUUUCUGGACUGUAGAAGGUGAUAUUAACACUGACCCGUGGGCCAGUGUUAAUAUCCAUACACUGGUAAACUUAGGCCACAUUAUCCACUGAUGACAACAAGACUGGUGCCAAGUUAUAGGCAAAGAUGAUUUUACUGAUCAUUCCUUGGGAAUGUCUGAAUCUGAACAGGCUCUUAAAGAUACUUCUCAAGUUAAAUUUUUCUGAUCUGAAGAUCAAAAGGGAUGCGACUUGUAUCUAAGCUGCUAGAGAAGUGUUGAAUAUUGCUGCUGGGCUGGUUAAGCCAGGUGUAACUGCUGAAGGAACAGACCAUGCUGUACACUUAGAAUGCAUUGCAAGAAAUUGUUAUCCUUCUCCUCUGAAUUAUUAUACUUUCCCACAGAAUUCCAGACAGUCCUUGGAAGAAGGUGAUAUUGUUAAUGUCGACAUCACUCUUUAUUGCAUUGGUUAUGAUGGGGACAUGAUUAAGACAUAUUUUAUUGGCAGUGUGGAUGAGGAUGCACGGAAAUUUGUUCAGACCACGUAUGAGUGCCUCAUGCAAGCCAUCAAUGCAGUGAAACCUGGUGUUUGAUACAGAGAAUUGGGAAACAUAUUUCAGAAGCCUGCCCAAGCAAAUGAAUUUUCAGUUGUUUGAAGCUAUUGCGAGCAUGGAGUCCACAAACUUUUUCAUACAGCUCCCAAUGCACUCCAUUGUGCCUAAAAUAAAGCAGUUGGUGUGAUACAAUCAAGCCAUGUAUUUACAGUUGAGCCAAUGAUUUGUGAAGGUGGAUGGCAGGAUGAAUCCUAGCCAGAAGGUUGGACUGCAGUGAGGAGACAGCUCGGUUCCACUAUUCCUUGCUGGUCACAGACACUGGCUGUGAAAUGCUAACCUGGCAACUUGAUAGUGAAUAGCCUCACUACAUAUCCCAACUU